Molecule: ribosomal RNA, 601 nt
Filed under: uncultured archaeon
Lineage: Archaea
Description: bacterial SSU rRNA
Rfam family: Archaeal small subunit ribosomal RNA
Source: RNAcentral
UACCCUCGGGUGGGGGAUAACCUCGGGAAACUGAGGCUAAUACCCCAUAGGCCUCGGAUACUGGAAGGUUCCGAGACCGAAAGCUCCGGCGCCCGAGGAUGGGUCUGCGGCCUAUCAGGUAGUUGGUGGUGUAAAGGACCACCAAGCCUACGACGGGUACGGGCCCUGAGAGGGGGAGCCCGGAGAUGGGCUCUGAGACACGAGUCCAGGCCCUACGGGGCGCAGCAGGCGCGAAACCUUCGCAAUGCGCGAAAGCGCGACGAGGGGAGCCCGAGUGCCCUUCCUUUCGGGAGGGCUUUUCUGGAGCCUAAAAAGCUCCAGGAAUAAGGGCUGGGCAAGACGGGUGCCAGCCGCCGCGGUAAUACCCGCAGCUCGAGUGGUGGCCACUAUUAUUGAGCCUAAAGCGUCCGUAGCCGGACCCGUAAAUCCCUGGGUAAAUCCUGGCGCUCAACGUCAGGAAUUCCGGGGAGACUGCGGGUCUUGGGACCGGGAGAGGCCGGAGGUACUCCCGGGGUAGGGGUAAAAUCCUGUAAUCCCGGGGGGACCACCUGUGGCGAAAGCGUCCGGCUUGAACGGCUCCGACGGUGAGGGACGAGGGCCA